UACGGGGGGAGCAAGCGUUGUUCGGAUUUACUGGGCGUAAAGGGCGCGUAGGCGGCCUGCUAAGUCGAACGUGAAAUCCCUGGGCUCAACCCAGGAACUGCGUCCGAUACUGGUUGGCUUGAAUCCGGGAGAGGGAUGUGGAAUUCCAGGUGUAGCGGUGAAAUGCGUAGAUAUCAAGAGGAACCCCUGAGGCGAAGGCGGGUUGCUAGGCUGAUACUGACGCUGAGUGCGCGAAAGCUAGGGUAGCAAACGGG
This 254-nucleotide ribosomal RNA is filed under the name uncultured bacterium. RNAcentral describes it as "partial 16S ribosomal RNA". It matches the Rfam family "Bacterial small subunit ribosomal RNA", at positions 524 to 776 of the family's 1533-position model. The record is from RNAcentral.